AAUGUCGAAAAAAUGAACCACUGUUUUAUGCUUUGUGCAACAUCAAUGUAGCAUAUCUUCCGUAAACUAAAAAGUCCUGGUCCAAUUAUUUUGUUGUCUUGAAAUGCAGAAGAUGUUGCUUGCUGAGGAUCCUGGAGAAUCACACCAAAUCUGAACGCUAUUACUAAGGCAAUCAGGUAAAUUCAUAUAUAAGCAAGAGAGCUACGAUCUAGAUCAG
RNAcentral lists this unclassified non-coding RNA (217 nucleotides) under Hevea brasiliensis (rubber tree). The record is from RNAcentral. Lineage: Eukaryota; Viridiplantae; Streptophyta; Magnoliopsida; Malpighiales; Euphorbiaceae.